CCUGAGAAUGGUCUCCUUACUCUUCCUCCCUCCUGCUGGGCCAUCUCCUGCCCCUGGGCCUUGGUCUAGUCUGUUCUUUGACCUGCAAGGCCAUGUGGCCGGCUCCUCCCCUUCCGCUCACUCGCCCAUUGCUGCAUUUUGAUUUUCUGCAUUCUGUGCAUACUACGGCUCACCCUCCACUCUCUUCUUUGGCUGUUUGUCUGUCCACCUGGCCCUCUCCAGUGGCAUACGGCUUCUGGGACAGCCCUGAGCUUGCCAAGUUGCUCCAGCUAAUCCCUGGCCUCUUGGAGAGCCCUUGGUCCAUGGUGGGUGUUCAGAAGCUCCAUGGAGGAGGGAUGAGUGAAUGCUGUGCUGAGGCCCUCACAGGCAGGUCCCUGGGUGUUCCUCUGGUUGCCUGUCUGCAAACAAAGCCACAAUGGCUCUCCUGCCUGGACCCCAGUGCUGGAGGACAAUUCCUUCACCCUGGCUCAGGCCAUGGCCAGAGGAACAGUAGGAAAAGCAACUUGAGAAGUGGCUGCAGCUUCUUAGAGAAUGUGCCCAGCCAGCCCAUGGAGGAUGAGAGGCCCCCCGAGGAGAACUGCGGCCAGCAGACAGGUACUGGCACGUGAGUGAGGCCAUCUGUGUUGGUCAAGUCUCCAAAAUGCAGUAGCCAAGGCGUCCUGCAGUGUGAGCAAGGAUUUUAUCAGGGGAAAUGUCUGCAUGAAGGAAAAUGGACAGGCUCAGGAAAGCCAGGGGAGCUGUCAGGUCCCAGUGCACAUCUGUCCCUGAGGGAGGGGACAGAGAGGAAGGCUGGAAGGAAUGUUCUAGACUGCCAGGUAUGGCAGAGUCCUUGGGGAGUCCCUACACUGAAGCUGGCAUCA
RNAcentral lists this long non-coding RNA (860 nucleotides) under Marmota monax (woodchuck). The record is from RNAcentral. Lineage: Eukaryota; Metazoa; Chordata; Mammalia; Rodentia; Sciuridae.